GGGGACCGCCGGACAGUUCGUGAGGUUUUGGCCCUCUCAAAAGCCAAUUCCCCGGGGCUGAUCUUCCUGUCAGAAACACGUCAAGCCUCUAGUCAAAUGGAAAAGCUUAAAAGAAGAUUGAAUAUGAAAGGGUUUGUUGGUGUCUCUAGUGCGGGCCUCAGUGGGGGGCUUGCAUUAUUUUGGGAUGAAAAUCUGCAAGUGACCGUGCUUGAUUCCUGCACGUGGUAUAUUGAUGUGAGAAUUGUUGACAACGCGAAUGAUAAAGCGUGGUGA
This 273-nucleotide ribosomal RNA is filed under the name Triticum aestivum (bread wheat). RNAcentral describes it as "partial small subunit ribosomal RNA". Lineage: Eukaryota; Viridiplantae; Streptophyta; Magnoliopsida; Poales; Poaceae. The record is from RNAcentral.